This 468-nucleotide ribosomal RNA is filed under the name uncultured bacterium. RNAcentral describes it as "partial 16S ribosomal RNA". It matches the Rfam family "Bacterial small subunit ribosomal RNA", at positions 28 to 507 of the family's 1533-position model. The record is from RNAcentral.
GACGAACGCUGGCGGCGUGCUUAACACAUGCAAGUCGAACGGAAAGGCCCUGCUUUUGUGGGGUGCUCGAGUGGCGAACGGGUGAGUAACACGUGAGUAACCUGCCCUUGACUUUGGGAUAACUUCAGGAAACUGGGGCUAAUACCGGAUAGGAGCUCCUGCUGCAUGGUGGGGGUUGGAAAGUUUCGGCGGUUGGGGAUGGACUCGCGGCUUAUCAGCUUGUUGGUGGGGUAGUGGCUUACCAAGGCUUUGACGGGUAGCCGGCCUGAGAGGGUGGCCGGCCACAUUGGGACUGAGAUACGGCCCAGACUCCUACGGGAGGCAGCAGUGGGGAAUAUUGCACAAUGGGCGGAAGCCUGAUGCAGCAACGCCGCGUGCGGGAUGACGGCCUUCGGGUUGUAAACCGCUUUCGCCUGUGACGAAGCGUGAGUGACGGUAAUGGGUAACGAAGCACCGGCUAACUACGUG